GACGAACGCUGGCGGCGUGCUUAACACAUGCAAGUCGAACGGUGAAGCGCCUUCCUUUUUGGUGGGUGUGGAUGAGUGGCGAACGGGUGAGUAACACGUGAGUAACCUGCUCCCUUCUUCUGGAUAACCGCAUGAAAGUGUGGCUAAUACGGGAUAUUCCGGGUCUGUCGCAUGAUGGGUCUGGGAAAGAUAUUGUUUCGGUGGGGGAUGGGCUCGCGGCCUAUCAGCUUGUUGGUGGGGUGAUGGCCUACCAAGGCGGCGACGGGUGGCCGGCCUGGGAGGGUCAGCCGCACCGCUGCGGCUGCACGACGGCGCAGCCUCCUGCGGGAAGCAGCAGUGAGGAUUGUUGCAUGAUCGGAGGAAUGCUGAUGCCGCGACGCGGCGUGGGAGAAGGCCGCCUUCGUGUUGUGAACCUCUUUCGCCAGUGAAGCAGGCCUGCCUAGUUCGUGGGUGGGUUGACGGUAGCUGGAUAAGAAGCGCCGGCUAACUACGUG
This 494-nucleotide ribosomal RNA is filed under the name uncultured bacterium. RNAcentral's name for it is "partial 16S ribosomal RNA". It matches the Rfam family "Bacterial small subunit ribosomal RNA", at positions 28 to 507 of the family's 1533-position model. The record is from RNAcentral.